Molecule: ribosomal RNA, 438 nt
Filed under: uncultured bacterium
Lineage: Bacteria
Description: bacterial SSU rRNA
Rfam family: Bacterial small subunit ribosomal RNA
Source: RNAcentral
AACGCGAAGAACCUUACCAGGCUUUGACAUGCCCUCUACGGGACCCAGAAAUGGGCUCCAUCACCUCGGGUGGGAGGAGCACAGGUGCUGCAUGGCUGUCGUCAGCUCGUGUCGUGAGAUGUUGGGUUAAGUCCCGCAACGAGCGCAACCCUCGUCCUCUGUUGCCAACAGGUAAUGCUGGGAACUCUGAGGAAACUGCCGGUGAUAAGCCGGAGGAAGGUGGGGAUGACGUCAAGUCCUCAUGGCCCUUACAGCCUGGGCUACACACGUGUUACAAUGGCAGUGACAAUGCGCUGCGAACCUGCAAGGGUAAGCGAAUCGCAAAAAGCUGCCUCAGUUCGGAUUGUACUCUGCAACCCGAGUACACGAAGCUGGAAUCGCUAGUAAUCGCGCAUCAUCGCGGCGCGGUGAAUACGUUCCGCGGGUCUGUACACACCG